CCAUCGCAAAAGCUAGGAGACCUUGUUCAUCCUCCAUGUGUUUUUUAAUAUAUCCAUUCAAGAAACUCCACGGAAGGCAUUCUGUGUCUCCUUUCUUCUUCAAAUGCUGAUCCACUUCCACCGUAGUCAUUCCUAACAACUUGGCCAACUUUCGUCGGUGUCCCGUCUUCUGGGCCCUCCAAUAGAUCUUGUCAGGCUGCAUGUGAUCUAUUCGAAGCAGAGAGGAGUACUCUUCUAUGGUAGGGGUCAUGUCCACCUUGUUAAAGACAAAGCAACGAUAUGAGGGAUCCCAAAAUUGGACAAUGGCUCGGAGCAUCUGGUCA
This 323-nucleotide long non-coding RNA is filed under the name Theobroma cacao (cacao). Its description in RNAcentral is "long non-coding RNA (TCAC_LNC003167)". Lineage: Eukaryota; Viridiplantae; Streptophyta; Magnoliopsida; Malvales; Malvaceae. The record is from RNAcentral.